Molecule: long non-coding RNA, 1792 nt
Filed under: Sus scrofa (pig)
Lineage: Eukaryota; Metazoa; Chordata; Mammalia; Artiodactyla; Suidae
Description: lncRNA (ENSSSCG00030030828.1)
Source: RNAcentral
ACGCGUUCUCCGGCAAGAGUGGUUUCAGCUGUUUUUUUGGACGUGCUAGUAGUUAACUCAUGGGAUAGAAAUACUACCGGGAGUGGUGAGAAACAAGACCUAGAAAGCUCAGAGAAAAGCAGAUGGAGAGUGGAGCUCUUGUCUGUCUUCUCGGCUCCUAACGGCAGCCCCAGAUUCGCAAUGAAGAGCCCCACGCCACAUGAAAUGUGAGCAAGUCCACCCACCUCAUCUACCCUGGCGGCCAGUUCCUCGUUGGACCAGAUCCCUUCUAUCAUAAGCUCCUCCUCAGCACAUGGUUAUUACUGGAAUGCUGGUGGUUUGGGCAACUCUUUUUCUGGUGAGAUGGUGCAGUGGGAAGGUACAUCCCACUUCCAGCGGGUUGUCCCUCGGUGCUGGCUUGGCUUCUUGGGAAAAGAGUGAAGAAUCAGAGCCUACACGCUGCUGCUGAGCUCCACAGCCUCCAUCUUGCCUCCUCCUGUUUAGACGAUGCGGGUCCUAGUUCUGGGAAGCCCUUCCACCGGAUCGCAGAGCCUCUCUGAACUUCAGGCUCCUCAUCUAUAAAAUGGACCUCCCAAGGUGGUGGUUUAGUGCUGUCAGGGACAUGUUGGCAGGAGGACCGUGUGAGCUGUUGUAUCCACAGUAGCCUGGAAAGGCCCUUCCCGCUGAGGCAUAUUGCCCAAUAAAGUAGAGGGGUGAAUUCGAAGCAAGACCUCAAGCAGGGGGUGAAGCGGACAUGAUGUAGAGAAGCUGCUGCUGAUGGCAAUGGGACCAGAAAAGGGGGGCCUAAGGAAGAGAGAACAUGAGAAGCAAAAAGGGCAGCCCCUUAACCUUCAACCUCAGAGGCUCGUGUGGGAGAAACCCAGUCAGGUCUGAGGGGAGAUCUCACAGCAAGGGGGUGGGUGGGACUUGACUCAGAUUGCAGUGGGGAGAAAUUUUAAUGACACCCCCUCCCUAGCAAACCAGCGAUGCAAGAUGGUGCCAGCACAAUAUGGUGCCAGUCAGGAGGUGGUUUGGAAUGGCUGAGGAAGGGAGUCUGGGAAGUGGCUUCAUGCAACGCUGCUCGUUCUAGUGAGAAUGCAGCCAGGUAGUCCUAGGUCCCAGGGGCCGCAGAGCCAAGAUCUGCCUCACCAGCUAUGUGCAGGGACCAUGCACUUUGGCUUCACCUCUUCCUGCCCCUACCCCACCAGCAAGCCCCAGGGACCAGAACCAUCUCUGUCCUGCGUGUGUGUGUGUGUGUGUGUGUGUGUGUGUGUGUGUAAGAAUGCAGGGGACUCCACUCAGACCUUCAACCCUCUUGUCCCACCACCGUGAGGCCCAUGAACAUCUCUCUGCACCAGGAAAUUAUCUUGGCUGGGAGAAGGCGGAAGGGUGAGAAAACCUUGGAAUACUGAGCAAUUUUACUCAAAAGAGACUGAGUUAAUCAUACAGAAAUGGAGCUAUGUCUAAGGGGCAAUUUAAUGCUUUCUUUUUGUUUGUUUUCUUUUUGCCCGUCAGUAGUAGGAAUUAUCAGAUCACGAUGAGAAGAGUAUAAGAAAAAGUAAGAACAAUACUGAUUUGACCCAUCUGGGUAGGUGUGUGUGUGUGAUCUUUAGCUCUCCCACAAUUAUGUCUGUACACGUUUGCUGGGGCAACUGUAUAUUUUCAAUUCCAAUCGUCAGACCUUUCCUUGAAGCUCACGUGUGUUUUGAUCUGGCCAGGAAUUGAGAAUCAUAAAAUCAUUAAAUCUGUAUUAAUUACCUAUUGCUGCAUAGUAAGUUAAUCCAAAAUUUAGCUGAAAUAAAUAUGUAUUAUC